This 463-nucleotide ribosomal RNA is filed under the name uncultured bacterium. RNAcentral's name for it is "partial 16S ribosomal RNA". It matches the Rfam family "Bacterial small subunit ribosomal RNA", at positions 28 to 507 of the family's 1533-position model. The record is from RNAcentral.
GACGAACGCUGGCGGCGUGCUUAACACAUGCAAGUCGAACGGAAAGGCCUUUUCGGAGGUACUCGAGUGGCGAACGGGUGAGUAACACGUGGGUGAUCUGCCCUGCACUCUGGGAUAAGCCUGGGAAACUGGGUCUAAUACCGGAUAGGACCGCACUUUAGUGUGUGUGGUGGAAAGUUUUUUCGGUGCAGGAUGAGCCCGCGGCCUAUCAGCUUGUUGGUGGGGUAAUGGCCUACCAAGGCGGCGACGGGUAGCCGGACUGAGAGGUUGGUCGGCCACAUUGGGACUGAGAUACGGCCCAGACUCCUACGGGAGGCAGCAGUGGGGAAUAUUGCACAAUGGGCGCAAGCCUGAUGCAGCGACGCCGCGUGGGGGAUGACGGCCUUCGGGUUGUAAACUCCUUUCGCCAGGGACGAAGCGUUUUGUGACGGUACCUGGAGAAGAAGCACCGGCUAACUACGUG